Molecule: ribosomal RNA, 397 nt
Filed under: uncultured bacterium
Lineage: Bacteria
Description: bacterial SSU rRNA
Rfam family: Bacterial small subunit ribosomal RNA
Source: RNAcentral
GACGAACGCUGGCGGCGUGCUUAACACAUGCAAGUCGAGCGGGUAAGGCCCUUUCGGGGGUACACGAGCGGCGAACGGGUGAGUAACACGUGGGUGACCCGCCCUCAGCUCUGGGAUAAGCCUGGGAAACCGGGUCUAAUACCGGAUAUGACUCCAUGACGCAUGUUGUGGGGUGGAAAGCCUUGUGCGGCUGAGGAUGGGCCCGCGGCCUAUCAGCUUGUUGGUGGGGUGANGGCCUACCAAGGCGACGACGGGUAGCCGGCCUGAGAGGGCGACCGGCCACACUGGGACUGAGACACGGCCCAGACUCCUACGGGAGGCAGCAGUGGGGAAUCUUGCGCAAUGGGCGAAAGCCUGACGCAGCGACGCUGCGUGAGGGAUGACGGCCUGGUGUAAC